RNAcentral lists this ribosomal RNA (483 nucleotides) under uncultured bacterium. RNAcentral's name for it is "partial 16S ribosomal RNA". It matches the Rfam family "Bacterial small subunit ribosomal RNA", at positions 30 to 507 of the family's 1533-position model. The record is from RNAcentral.
AUUGAACGCUGGCGGCAGGCCUAACACAUGCAAGUCGAGCGGAUGAAGGGAGCUUGCUCCUGGAUUCAGCGGCGGACGGGUGAGUAAUGCCUAGGAAUCUGCCUAGUAGUGGGGGAUAACGUCCGGAAACGGGCGCUAAUACCGCAUACGUCCUGAGGGAGAAAGUGGGGGAUCUUCGGACCUCACGCUAUCAGAUGAGCCUGGUCGGAUUAGCUAGUUGGUGGGGUAAAGGCCUACCAAGGCGACGAUCCGUAACUGGUCUGAGAGGAUGAUCAGUCACACUGGAACUGAGACACGGUCCAGACUCCUACGGGAGGCAGCAGUGGGGAAUAUUGGACAAUGGGCGAAAGCCUGAUCCAGCCAUGCCGCGUGUGUGAAGAAGGUCUUCGGAUUGUAAAGCACUUUAAGUUGGGAGGAAGGGCAGUAAGUUAAUACCUUGCUGUUUUGACGUUACCAACAGAAUAAGCACCGGCUAACUUCGUG